AAGACACAACUUUAUUUUAACAUUGAGCUUUAUUCUAGUUGUUGAAGUAGAGCGACAAUUGUCGUUACGACUUGAUGCGAGAUAUGUCGUAGUGAAACGACGUUUUUUGUUGAAAAGUACAAGUGACAAGAAAGUGGAAUCAAGUCAUAAAAUAUAUAAUUUAAUUUUCGUUUUUUUUGUGAAAGUAUUUAUAAAUUUGAAGAAUUGGAAAUUUCAUGACAGAGAACGCCUUUUAAAGGUACUCGUUUUUCCCUCGAAUAUAUUCAGUAAAUAUAUAAAACCCUCCUUUAGAAGUCUGUAAUAGUUUAUAAAUCUGUGAAUAAAAUAAAAUGUUUGCAACUAAUUUACUAGAAAAAAUUUGGCAAAUCCUUUGGAUUAGAGCUGUCGCUAAUCUUAAAUCUUUCGAUCCUUAAUUGUUGUUUUUUUUUAAUUUCAUCACUACCGGAAUGAGAUGAAUUCGUAAACCAUAAUACAAAUGACAUUUUUUAUUAUUUAAAAAUAUAAAUAUAUACACUGAAAAUUUUUUUAGUUUGAGCUUUAAUCGCCGAAAUUUCUUUUUAAAAUGUAUCAAUUUCACUUGAAAGGUUUUAUUUUCGAUUAUAUCUCGCACUCACUUCACUCGACAACCAGAAUACCACAUUUCAAAUGAUGUGACAGCGACAACGACAAAUGUCACGUAAGUGACGCGACAACUAGAAUAAGGCUCAUUAAUUUAUUAUUUAAUAUAUUGUGUAAAAAAACAAUAUAUAAUUUAGUAAAAAUUUAAAUUUAAAUUAAAUUAAAACUAAUCAGUGAUAAAUGUUAGAUACACUUUAAAUUACUUCAAAUUCUUACUAACCGAUUUAGCAAAAUUGAAGUUAAUGUCUUUUUGUGGAAAGUUAAUACAAAGAAGCUCCCGUCAUUUAACAAAUAUUGUAGAAACACGUUCAGAGUUUUAGAAAUUGACACACUCAAGCGAAUUACCAAUAUCACAUAUAUUUGUAGCAAGUGAACAUCAAAUUUGGAUUAGUUGGAAAUAUUUUCCAGAACUGAAUCCAGUACUUAAAAAUCAAUCUCUGAUAAUUGGAGCGUUUACCACAGCACAUGCUAGAUUUUUGUUGCAUUACGAAAUGAGUAAAAUUGGAAAAAAUGCUCUUUAUUGCCAUACGGAUUCUAUGAUAUUUGUACAAAAUACUAAGAAUCGCGAAUGUAAUUUGGGAACAUGAAAUUUUUGGCAAGGUUUAACAAACGAAUUUUACGGAAAAAGUAUUUAUGGUACAGAACUUGUAUCGACUGGUUCUAAAAGAUUUACUAGUAUUAUAAUCCUGACACAAAGAAAUAUGAGUUAAAGUAACAACAAGGAAGCAAUUUGAAGAAUUGGGAAAUUUUAUGACGGAGAACGCCUUUAUUGCGAAAGGCCUUAAAUUUGCUGAAAAUAGCUGCAUAAGCAAAUGCGAGUUUGAUGCAAAAUGGAACCAGCUAACAGAAAAGCUUAAUAGCUUGGGUCGGCCCAUUAGAAGUACUGCAGGAUGGCAGAAGGUUUGGUGUGACUACAAAUUGAAGUUAAAAAAAAAAUUAGCGCACAACAAAAAGGAGUUAAAUUCAACUGGCGGUGGUUUAUUUAAAUAAGGGAAUCAUGAGAUGAUCCCGGAUCGCAAACCUUUAAGUCACAUUAUAUUAAAAUAUUUACAAAUAUUUAACAAGCAAUAUUAUACAUACCAACAUAACGUUUAAGCUAUGAUAACCUUUCCGGUUAUAAUAUAAAUGCUGAUGAUAUUUUGACGGAGUUAUAAUUCUAACGUGUGUUCCGUCUACUCAGCCGAUCACUCCAGGAAACCCAAAUUUUUCAUAGAAUGCUAAUUUAAUCUCAUUUCUUUCAUGCUCUUCUGGAAACUUUAUCAAACUGCUGCAAAUUUCAGCUUCUAAAGUUGUUAAAACUUCUUUUAAUAUUUUAGAGAACGUAGGCUGUGCUAAACCUGUAUAUAAAUCGUUAGCAACACCUUUUUGAUAGCUGCCCUCAGAUAGGAAGCGUAAAACAGCUCCUAAUUUAAUUAUAGGUGAGACUCCAAAACACCUUUUAGGGGUACUUGUUUUUCCCUCGAAUGUAUUUAGUAAAUAUAGAAAGGCCUCCUUUGAAAGUCUGUAAUAGCUUAUAAAUCUGUAAAUAAAAUAAAAUGUUUGUAACAAAUGUAUUUGAAAAAAUUAUUAUCUUACACUCCAUUUGGCAAAUCCAAUGGACUAGAGCUAUUCCUAAUCUUAAAUCUUUUGAUCCUUAAUUGUUGUUUUUUUUCAGUUUCAUCACUCUCGGAGUCUGAUGAAUCCGUAAACCAUAGUGCAAAUGACGACAUUUUUUAUUUCCCUCGUAUUUAUAAAAAUAAAUAUAUACACCGAAUUUUUUUUUUAGUUUGAACUUUACUCGCCAAAAUUUCUUUUUAAAAUGUAUCAAUUUCACUUGAAAUGUUUCAUUUUCGUUUAUUUCUCGCAGUCACGCCACUCGACACCUAGAAUACCACAUUUCAAAUGAUGUGACAACGACAACGACAAAUGUCACGUAAGUGACGCGACAACUAGAAUAAGGCUCAAAGUCAAUUAACGUGCAGACAGUCUGACGUAGUAAUUCAGUAAAUAAAUUUGAUGUAUUGAGUGACUAUCAUUACGUUAAAAAUAAUAUAAAAAAUAAUUUUUUUGUUAAUUUUUAAUAUGUAAGUAUAAAAUUAUUUUAAAUCUAAAAAAAUUUUUUUUUUGUUUUGACGUUUACGGAUGAUCAAAAUUCAAAGUCAAUUACGGGUAAAAAGUUUAAUACAUUUCUGUCCGUAAAAGUUUUAUACAUCAGACAGUUUGCAGACUGAAAACAAAAUUUUGACGUUAAAGAAUUUGCGGUAUAUCUUCAUGUUUUUGUAUAAUGUAUUGUAUAACUUGACUAUAGUGUAAUUGCAUAACUUGAUGUAUUUGUAUUUGUAUAUUUAGAUGUAAUAGUAUAAUAAAUAUCUUGAUGUAUUCAUUAAAAACAAAUAAAAUUUAAUUAC
Condylostylus longicornis is the source of this 3005-nucleotide long non-coding RNA. RefSeq lists it as uncharacterized. NCBI's taxonomy places the organism in Eukaryota, Metazoa, Arthropoda, Insecta, Diptera, Dolichopodidae. The record is from RefSeq and is a predicted model, not a curated record. The transcript is spliced from 4 exons.